UUCAAUUUAUUUUCUUUUGUCGGCCUAAUUUAUUAGCCGUUAUAUGAACGUUACCCAGCUGUACGUAGGUCCCACGCGCCACUCUCUCCGCCUAUAAAUAUUCUCCUUCCCCCUCACCGAACCCUAAAUCAAACCAAACCCCAAACAAAGCAAACAAAUUUCUGUCUCCCAAAGAAAUUUUUUUGCUCCUCUCCGCUUCAGAAAAAUGGCUCAAGUUAGCAUCAUGAAGGCUCUUUUGGUCGCUUUAUUCAUGGCAUUCUUAACCGCCGCCACGGCACAAGUUAGUGAGGCGCCUUCUCCGUCUCCAGACGCCGGUGCCGGUUUCUCCGUGGGCGUUUCCACCGCUGCUGUUGGGUUUUCUUUGGUUGUGUCUCUUCUUGCUUUGUUGAAAGCUUAAAUUUAUGGGAUUUUUUUUUUGGGUGGUCUUUUUGUACCAUUGAUUUAUUUUUGGGUUUUGUUUUUAAUUUCAUUCUUUGUUACUUCAUGGGAUUGAUUGUAAUGAAGUUGAUUCAUUGAGUAUUAUUAUUAUAUUUGAGCAUUUUUUUUCUUACAGUAUUCAUUGCCCAAAACAAUCGAUUUGGUAUUUCAGUAUUAAAUUGAAAAUAAUUCGAUUGGAUCCAAUUCUCCUGUCUUUCACUGUUAAUUCGAUUGGAUCCAUUUUAUCAUAAUUUUAACUUUGAAUUUCUUUUAUUUAUGUUUUUCGUCAGUACAGUAUGCUGAUUGUGUUGAAUUGAAAUAAUUUAAAAAACAAUCAAGUUUUUGUUGUAGGAAUUUACUUUCAGUACGACUUUUAAAAGUUAAUAAAGAAAUGCAAGGUCGGAAACUGC
Molecule: long non-coding RNA, 827 nt
Filed under: Gossypium raimondii (Peruvian cotton)
Lineage: Eukaryota; Viridiplantae; Streptophyta; Magnoliopsida; Malvales; Malvaceae
Description: long non-coding RNA (GRAI_LNC005988)
Source: RNAcentral